GGUUAUGGGGGAGCCCGCAUGGAUUAGCCCUCUCCAGGUGACCUGUGGUAUGGGUUGACCUCAGGGUAGGAGGAGCCUUUGUCUGCAAGAGGAGCCGCCCCUGGCUGAGCACAGCUGAGCAGAAUCUUCCAUGCUCGGGGCUCUCCUGCAAACCUCUUCCAGCGUACCACCCUGUAACUGCCCAGUUUCUCCCCCUGCCCCUCAUAGACCAUAAGAUCUACUUGGACAGCAAGACUGUACCCCCUUGGGCCUAUAUCCACAACAACCUGGCACAAGGUUGGCACACAUAGGCACUGGGAGGACCUUGGCCGUGACCACUGGAGCAGUGCAGCUGAGGGUCAGGGACGUCAGUGGCCAGGUAUAGAGAACCUGGCAAGAGGAGGCUUUCCAUGGUUGAGAUGUUGUAGCUGUCCGCUCACCCUCUAGCCCCCACCCAAUAUGCUCACUUCCUUCUGCCAGCUGAGAAUAUGAAUAGAUUUAGAUUAAUUUGUGGGCACUGGAUCUGUGAAUAGGUGAUGAAAAGGAGCCGGGGGGUUUUAACACCCCGUAUCUCGGAGUCGUCAUCAUUGAGGGAAAAGGCCCUUCAGCCUGUUGGUCCCAUGACUCUGGAAAGCCAACACACAUCUCUGGGCUUGCUUUUUUGAGCAUAAAAUAAGCAAGGUGGCCUGUGGUGGUCCCCAGACUCUGGGCCUGUGGGUGCUUGUAAACAAGCAGAUUUUAAGACCUCACCCUAGUCUGAAAGAACUGGAACUUCUGGAGUCGGGGCCUAGGAACGUGCAUCUUUAAGACACACCCCAGUUCAGUUUUGCAGCAAGGUUUGAGAAGUGCUGCACAAGGUGGUCUCUGUAACCCUCUAGGCUGGAAGCAGCUGGAAUUGGUCCUCUCUGAAGCCCCAGGACAGGGCUGGGGUGGGAAGGAGCCCACAAGAAAAUGGUGAGUUGAAGGUCAGUCCCAGCCUCCUGAACCAGGAACCCGAGUUUCUACCUUGCCCACCAAAACACAUGCAUUCAUCCUGGCCCCAGGCAGCCCAUGCUCCUGCUUGUUAGACUGCUCACACAGAGGAACCGGGGAGCUCCAGCUGGGGGCCUUGCCAUGUUUCAGCCUUAGUCCCCACAACACCCAGCGAGCUAGUUUCCAAGGGGACAGGGGCGAGGAGCAUGUCCGAAGUGCUCCUCUUUCCUGCUGGCAGUCACCAGGCAAGGGAGAGAGACUACAGGGCCUUCUCUUCUCGCCCUCAAGAAAGAAUUCCCAGAACCUCAAGAGCAUGUCCCCUGGGGAGAGGGGGUCAAAAGAGAACUCUGCCUGAGCAGCACAAACAACCCCCUCACCUACUUGUCUCCCCAUCACCUAUGGUUUACAGAGAUGAAACAUGCUGUGCCAGGAGUCCACGAGCAGAGCCAUUUAUCCUUCCGGAGCCAUCUGAGCACUAGCGAGCUCUGCAGGUCCUGUUGUGGUUUGUACCUCCAGGUGACUAGAAUGGGUGGCUCUGGAGACGGGGAAGCCGUCCAGCUGUGCUGUGCUGGCUGGGUGUCCACGCACUGAGCUCCACCCCUGCUCCUCCCAUGUGUAGCUGCCUAUUUGGAGCAGUGUGAAGUCAGCCCUGGCCCUGCUCCCCUCCUGCCGAGGACCAUGAUGACAGCUAAUGUCCCGCCUUCUGUCCAUCUUUAACUGCUCCUCCAGUUACCCUGAAAAUAAAUCUCACUGCUCCCUCUGCUCCUGGUUGCCAAAAGGAUAAAGUCCAAAUUCCUCAACUGGGGAAAAAAAGACUCUCUUUUCCAUCCCCAGGAGUACUUCUUCAGCCCCAUUUCCCACCUUCUUCUGUCACAGUCACCCAACAGUAGCCUCUUCCAAGGACAUGCUAUGGCCUGCCUCUGUCACGAAGAUCCCUUGGCCUUCAAGGCAAGUGGAAUAACAACAGUAAUAAUAAUCAUUGUUAACAUCAAUUGAAUGUUUCCAAACUCUUCUAAGAGCUUUACUUAUAUUACCCAACUCCAUUCUCAAAGUAACUUAGUAGAUGGGGCAGGUAACCUUAUCGUGCCCUUUUACAUAUGAGAAAACUGAGGUUUAUUCCUUCAGGUUGGUCAGUCCUCCAAGGCUAGUGAUUUCAGCACUGGGGUUCAAGCCCAGGUAGCCUGGCAGGGCCCAUGACAGCCAUGCUCCUGCGGGCCAGGACAGGGCUGAGGAGGCCCGUGGCGGAGCACUCCACCCAGAGCCCCGAGCACUGAAGCUCAA
This is a long non-coding RNA of Pteropus alecto (black flying fox), 2232 nucleotides long. RefSeq lists it as uncharacterized. NCBI's taxonomy places the organism in Eukaryota, Metazoa, Chordata, Mammalia, Chiroptera, Pteropodidae. The record is from RefSeq and is a predicted model, not a curated record. The transcript has 3 exons.